UAAGGCCGAUGGCGACCGGCGCACGGGUGAGUAACACGUAUCCAACCUGCCGUCUACUCUUGGACAGCCUUCUGAAAGGAAGAUUAAUACAAGAUGGCAUCAUGAGUCCGCAUGUUCACAUGAUUAAAGGUAUUCCGGUAGACGAUGGGGAUGCGUUCCAUUAGAUAGUAGGCGGGGUAACGGCCCACCUAGUCUUCGAUGGAUAGGGGUUCUGAGAGGAAGGUCCCCCACAUUGGAACUGAGACACGGUCCAAACUCCUACGGGAGGCAGCAGUGAGGAAUAUUGGUCAAUGGGCGAGAGCCUGAACCAGCCAAGUAGCGUGAAGGAUGACUGCCCUAUGGGUUGUAAACUUCUUUUAUAAAGGAAUAAAGUCGGGUAUGGAUACCCGUUUGCAUGUACUUUAUGAAUAAGGAUCGGCUAACUCCGUGCCAGCAGCCGCGGUAAUACGGAGGAUCCGAGCGUUAUCCGGAUUUAUUGGGUUUAAAGGGAGCGUAGAUGGAUGUUUAAGUCAGUUGUGAAAGUUUGCGGCUCAACCGUAAAAUUGCAGUUGAUACUGGAUAUCUUGAGUGCAGUUGAGGCAGGCGGAAUUCGUGGUGUAGCGGUGAAAUGCUUAGAUAUCACGAAGAACUCCGAUUGCGAAGGCAGCCUGCUAAGCUGCAACUGACAUUGAGGCUCGAAAGUGUGGGUAUCAAACAGGAUUAGAUACCCUGGUAGUCCACACGGUAAACGAUGAAUACUCGCUGUUUGCGAUAUACUGCAAGCGGCCAAGCGAAAGCGUUAAGUAUUCCACCUGGGGAGUACGCCGGCAACGGUGAAACUCAAAGGAAUUGACGGGGGCCCGCACAAGCGGAGGAACAUGUGGUUUAAUUCGAUGAUACGCGAGGAACCUUACCCGGGCUUAAAUUGCAGAUGAAUUACGGUGAAAGCCGUAAGCCGCAAGGCAUCUGUGAAGGUGCUGCAUGGUUGUCGUCAGCUCGUGCCGUGAGGUGUCGGCUUAAGUGCCAUAACGAGCGCAACCCUUGUUGUCAGUUACUAACAGGUUCCGCUGAGGACUCUGACAAGACUGCCAUCGUAAGAUGUGAGGAAGGUGGGGAUGACGUCAAAUCAGCACGGCCCUUACGUCCGGGGCUACACACGUGUUACAAUGGGGGGUACAGAGGGCCGCUACCACGCGAGUGGAUGCCAAUCCCCAAAACCUCUCUCAGUUCGGACUGGAGUCUGCAACCCGACUCCACGAAGCUGGAUUCGCUAGUAAUCGCGCAUCAGCCACGGCGCGGUGAAUACGUUCCCGGGCCUUGUACACACCGCCCGUCAAGCCAUGAAAGCCGGGGGUACCUGAAGUACGUAACCGCAAGGAGCGUCCUAGGGUAAAACUGGUAAUUGGGGCUAAGUC
Molecule: ribosomal RNA, 1394 nt
Filed under: uncultured organism
Description: SSU rRNA
Rfam family: Bacterial small subunit ribosomal RNA
Source: RNAcentral